Molecule: transfer RNA, 87 nt
Filed under: Actinomycetota bacterium
Lineage: Bacteria; Bacillati; Actinomycetota
Also listed under: 1 other name
Description: tRNA-Ser
Rfam family: tRNA
About the family: Transfer RNA (tRNA) molecules are approximately 80 nucleotides in length. Their secondary structure includes four short double-helical elements and three loops (D, anti-codon, and T loops).
Source: RNAcentral
GGAGAGGUGUCCGAGUGGCUUAAGGAGCGCGCUUGGAAAGCGCGUGGGCGUUUACGCGCCUCGUGGGUUCGAAUCCCACCCUCUCCG